Molecule: long non-coding RNA, 4123 nt
Filed under: Malus domestica (apple)
Lineage: Eukaryota; Viridiplantae; Streptophyta; Magnoliopsida; Rosales; Rosaceae
Description: long non-coding RNA (MDOM_LNC009543)
Source: RNAcentral
CUGCAUUCAAAACCUCUCUCCUCCGCAAAUCACAUCAUUCAAAUAUUUUUUUUCUUACAACUAAUUAAAUCAACUAUCUUCAUAUAGAAGUCUUUUUUUGUUUAACAUGAGAAAUAAAGACUUUUUUUUAGAAAGAGAAUGAGAGGGAAAUUGCAGCUAAAAUAUCCACAAUGUUUGACCUAGUAGUGAUUUUGGUUUCAAAAUAAUUUUCAACCAUUGAGCACACAUUCAAGUUCCUCAAUCAAACACACCCUAAAAAAAUAUAUAAAAAAUCAGUAAGGUCAUAUCAUAUGAUAUCAUCUAGUUAGGAAAACGAAAAAACAAUCUAUUUUAUGUAGUAGGAAGACUCUGAACAAAUUCUUGGAACACUAUGACUCAAACAAAAUACUAGGCCUUGGAUAUUUUUUGACAAAUGAUAGAUGUUUGAGAUGUAUUAUUCCUAAAAUUGGAGAAAUUGAACGGUUGAUCUAAAAGUCAACAAGUUGUGAGAGAUUUUUUAGUGUGAUUGAAACACGGGUGAUAAUUCACGUGUCACUAUACAAAUGAUGGGAUAUGUGUUUUAUUAAGUUAAUAACUUAAAAAAUACAAUUUCCCAUCACUUAUAAAAACACAUGGUGUACCACUCACAAUGAAAAAUUUCUCCACAAGUGUUUGUAGGUUUGAAGUGUUAAUAACAAAAUUCAAAUUUUGUUAAAAUAAAGGGUGUCGUUGGAGAUGAAAAGUUAAAUCAAGGUUCUAAAAAACGCUAGGCACUAGUCAGGUGGUGGGCUAGCGCCUAGCGCCUAGGCGGAUUUAGGUAAAUUUCUUAUAUAUUUUAUGAAUUAAUUAAAUUUACUAUAUCAAAUGUAAAUAAUUAUUGACUAAUAUGCUAUUUCUUAUAGAAGAACAUACAUAUGUGAAUGUUUUAUGUACAUAUAUGAUAUGCUUGCCUAGGAAAAAAAACAAAAUAUUAUCUAAAUAAUUUAUAAUUUAUAUAAGAUUUACACACACACACACAAUAUAUAUAUAUAUAUAUAUAUAUAUAUCCCAAACUUUUAAAAAUAUAAAAAGCCCACACAGUGGGCGAUGUUCAUUGUUAAAACCAUCAAACCGUCCACCUUCUUUCACAUCACCCGACCACCUUUCACAAGUGGGUGGUUUUCAUGAUUAAAACCAUCACGGUCCAUGGUUUUCAAUUUUAAAACCAUCAAAUGUCCACCUCACCUCUGCUCUUUCACAUUACCCAAGCUUUUGAGUCCUCAAAGUGCACCACCACCACAUACUGAAAUGUUUAAGACAUACUGAAAUGUUUAAGUCUCUCUCUCUCUGCACUCUCUCUUCUCUGCUCUCAUCUUCACAGACGAGUUGCAGAAAUUAUCUGGCAACACUUUUUCUUCCCUCAUCUUCACAGAGACAAGUUGCAAAAAUUCAUCGGCAGUCUUUCCCUCUCUCUCUUUGCACUCGCUCUUCCCUCAUCUUCUUAGAGACGAGCUACAAAACUUUUCCGGGGCUCUGCUGCUACGUACAAGAUCGAAAGUUGUAGAUCAUUUGCGAAAAUUGCAGCAAGUUUGGGAUUUGCAACAAGAUUCAAACCGCCUAGCGUCGCCUAGCCCGCCUCAGGUGCCUAGCGAGCGCCUAGGCGGCCGCCUAUGUCCUCCUCGCCUAACUGAACGUUUUAGUCUAAAUUGGGUUAAAGCUCCGCUGCCCAGCUCCUAAGCGGCCGCCUAGGCCGAUUUUUAGAACACUGAGUUAAAUUGAGUUUUUUACACUGUUUACUUGCUAGUUUAACAAAAAUUUAGGAUUUCUCUUGGAGAUGCUCUAACACUUUCAUUUGUUAAACAAUGUCAAAUAUUAUAUUUAUAUAAAUAGGAAAAGAUAAUACUUGCAUCCUCGUGUGGGGAUGCAUUCAUUUGCGAAAUAGCAUAUCUUGACUGAAUAGAUCAACAAUCGCAACCGUCUUUUUUAUUAAUCUUUAUUUGGAGAUCACUCGUACAAAAAUCAUUCGAAUUAAAACGUAUCAAAUAAAUGAACAGUUUAUUAUGAAUAUAUUAUUUUGUACUCCCACAUCUAUUUGUUUUAUACAUUUAAAUGACUAAAUGAUCUCCGAUUAAAAUGAUUUUUUUUUGUAGGGGUGGCCUUCAAAUAAAGAUUAAGAAGUUAAAUGAUUUUUUCAAUCAUUGAUUUUAUUCGGUUAAGAUACAUUAUUUGUAAAUGAAGAUAUGUGCAUCGCCACAUAGAAGAUGCAAGUAUUAUGGGUAAAUUACAUUUUACAUGUGAUUACAACCUCAUACAUCAUCUUUAAAACAUUACAAUUUAAUACACCAAAUAUGAUUUAGUUGCAAUUUCAUACAAUCCGUUACAUAAUCUAUUAGAUUGGCUGUUAAGUGAUGAUAUGACAGAUAUGUGACCCAGUUUUUAAUGAGGUGGAUGUCAACUUUGCGCCAUGUUGAUAAUUUUUUUAAUAAAAUAUAAGUUAUAAAAUAUAAAAAAUUAUUAUUAUUUGAAAUAUUUAACAAAUAAUUAAAAUGUCAAAAUAAUAAUAAUAAUAAUAAUAAUAAUAAUAAUAAUAAUAAUAAUAAUCAACCCCACCCUACCUCUGCACCAGACCGUUCUUCUCUCUGAUCAACUCCUCCUCCGCUCCUCCACCAUCCCCACACCUUUUCUCCCUCUGAUCAACCCCAUCUUCCAUAACCACCAAGAACACGCCUCUCCAUCAACAUUAACCCUCGACACCACACCCUCACCCAUAACCAAAUUGCAACAAUUGCAAUCCAAAAAUUCAAAUCUGGUGUGGUUUGAAAUUGGGAAUUUCGGGAAUCAGUCGAAAUUGAAAGCCUCAGUGGUUGAAAUAGGAAACCUAAGUCGUCACAUGGGAGAGAGAACGGUGGGUGUGGUGGCGGAUCAACGGAGGAGGUGGCAACUUUGUCAUGGCGACAGCUCUGAGGUGAGUGGGUUUUUCCUGUUCUUCUUGUCAUUCAAUUGCGAACCCAUCUGGAACCAGAUGGUGUCAUUUUUUUUUCUUUGAAACCCCACUUGUACACAUCCCACUCCAGAUUCAUUGAUCUCUCCUUCCCAGAAGCCAAAAAAUGAAAAUUUAUAAGGUGGAGCAGAGAGUGAUGGGUCUUGGGCUAUUUUGGGAAGAUGUUGCAUCGAGGGAUUUGGAUUUGGAUUUGCUGGUUUUUAUUUAAUUGCAGGGAUUUGCAAUGUGUUGGUGCAUGGCGAGGGAAGGAGGAAGUUCAGGGAGUCUCGUGCAAGCGUGAGAUUUGCAGGGAGGAAGAAGAGGUUGAAGUUCUAUAGGGUGGGGACUGCUUUUUUUUUUUAAAAAAAAAUCAUUUUUUUUCUUCUUAGAAUUACAUUUCUAAAAAAAAAUAUUUUUUGUUUGUCCCAUAUGGCACAUUAUUGACUGCCACUUCAACAAAAUAGUGGGACAUGCAAUUGCCACACAAUUACUUAACAAUCAAAUUGGUUUGAUUGACAGUCGUAUGAAAUUGAAAUAAAAUAAUAAGUAAUGUACAAGAUUGAAAUGUUUUAAAGAUAUUGUUUGGAGUUGCAAUUGCAAUCAAACUAGAGAGUGCAAACUGUAAUUUACUAAAUAGCAUAAACAAGCAUCACCUGAAAGCUUGAGGGGACAAUGAUAGCUUUGGCACAAUAGGUUAUUCUUGUUGAAAAUGUUAGUCAACUCUUUAUAUUACUAUGACUAUUUGUGAUAUUUUGUUUGGGUUUUUUUUGUUGUUUAAGUAAGACAAGGAUUAUGAUUACUUUGUUUAUUAUUAGUAAGGUUUAAGAUUGAUUAGGAUUAACAAGCACUGAAUUGUCCUUGUGGUUAGAACAUUUUUUUUCAAUAUGUGUCUCAGGUGCAAACCAUUUUCCUUUCCAUCUAAUAAAUUAACGUAUAAUAUAGCUUCUAAUCAAGAGAGUGGUUAGGAUAUAUUAGAUCUUCUUAAAUAUUAAAAACAUCUUUUACAACUUUGUAAAUUAAAAACUUGGCAAGAUGUAGUUUUUUUUUUUUUUGGUUUUUCGAAAUGUAAAGUCAACUUUCAUACUUUAAUGGCAAUUUAGUAAUUUCACACCUUUAGUAUUACAAAAUACGUAAAAAUAAGGACGGGGUUUCACAAAACAACUAGCUUUAGCCAUAUUAACAUGU